This 117-nucleotide small nucleolar RNA is filed under the name Dasypus novemcinctus (nine-banded armadillo). RNAcentral's name for it is "Small nucleolar RNA SNORA31 (ENSDNOG00000036410.1)". It matches the Rfam family "Small nucleolar RNA SNORA31". Rfam says of the family: ACA31 (SNORA31) belongs to the H/ACA class of snoRNAs which are thought to guide the sites of modification of uridines to pseudouridines. Lineage: Eukaryota; Metazoa; Chordata; Mammalia; Cingulata; Dasypodidae. The record is from RNAcentral.
AUGCAUCUCUGACAGACCUGAAGCAGUUAAUGUCUGCUGCUAAGGUUUCCAUUAUAGAUGCAAGAAAAAGAAGAUCCUCUGGUUGUGGCAGCCAAGAUUGAAUGGGGGAAUACAGGA